GAUGAACGCUAGCUACAGGCUUAACACAUGCAAGUCGAGGGGCAGCAGGGAUUUAGCUUGCUAAAUCCGCUGGCGACCGGCGCACGGGUGCGUAACGCGUAUCCAACUUUCCCGUUACUCAGGGAUAGCCUUCCGAAAGGGAGAUUAAUACCUGAUGGUGUUCAAAUUCCGCAUGUUAUUUGAACUAAAGAUUUAUCGGUAACGGAUGGGGAUGCGUGACAUUAGAUAGUAGGCGGGGUAACGGCCCACCUAGUCUACGAUGUCUAGGGGUUCUGAGAGGAAGGUCCCCCACACUGGAACUGAGACACGGUCCAGACUCCUACGGGAGGCAGCAGUGGGGAAUAUUGCACAAUGGGGGAAACCCUGAUGCAGCAACGCCGCGUGAAGGAAGACGGUCUUCGGAUUGUAAACUUUUGUUCUUAGUGAAGAAACAUGACGGUAGCUAAGGAGAAAGCCACGGCUAACUACGUG
This 471-nucleotide ribosomal RNA is filed under the name uncultured bacterium. RNAcentral describes it as "bacterial SSU rRNA". It matches the Rfam family "Bacterial small subunit ribosomal RNA", at positions 28 to 507 of the family's 1533-position model. The record is from RNAcentral.